This 292-nucleotide ribosomal RNA is filed under the name uncultured Alphaproteobacteria bacterium. Its description in RNAcentral is "partial 16S ribosomal RNA". Lineage: Bacteria; Pseudomonadati; Pseudomonadota; Alphaproteobacteria. The record is from RNAcentral.
GGACUACUGGGGUAUCUAAUCCUGUUUGCUCCCCACGCUUUCGCGCCUCAGCGUCAGUUUCGGUCCAGAUGGCCGCCUUCGCCACCGGUGUUCUUCCCAAUAUCUACGAAUUUCACCUCUACACUGGGAAUUCCACCAUCCUCUCCCGAACUCUAGCCAACGAGUAUCAAACGCAAUUCCCAGGUUAAGCCCGGGGCUUUCACGCCUGACUACGUCGGCCGCCUGCGCGCCCUUUACGCCCAGUAAUUCCGAACAACGCUUGCCCCCUUCGUAUUACCGCGGCUGCUGGCAC